AUGCCAUGGUGAGGGCAUUCUUGAAGUAAAUCCUUGAAUCUCUCCAUAAGUUUAGAACAGGACUCACUAUGCUUUUAUCUAAACUGAAGGAUAUCACUUUUAAGCUU
Molecule: small nucleolar RNA, 107 nt
Organism: Macadamia integrifolia
Lineage: Eukaryota; Viridiplantae; Streptophyta; Magnoliopsida; Proteales; Proteaceae
Source: RefSeq, a predicted model, not a curated record